AAUGAUGAUUAUAGCAAUAGGGGAACACCUCUUCCCAUUCCGAACAGAGAAGUUAAGCCUAUUCACGCCAAUGGUACUGUAAUAAAAUGCGGGAGAGUAGGAAGUUGUCAUUA
Molecule: ribosomal RNA, 113 nt
Filed under: Xylanibacter ruminicola
Lineage: Bacteria; Pseudomonadati; Bacteroidota; Bacteroidia; Bacteroidales; Prevotellaceae
Source: RNAcentral